This 1059-nucleotide long non-coding RNA is filed under the name Gallus gallus (chicken). The record is from RNAcentral. Lineage: Eukaryota; Metazoa; Chordata; Aves; Galliformes; Phasianidae.
UGGCAAGUUGGAUCCUCACAUAUUAACCAACCAUUAUAGUAUUUUUUUAGGUAGCGUCUAAUAUCCAAAAGUAAUUUGUUGUUCAUUUGAACCACAUGGUUGAAAGGAGGCUCUUCACAUUCACUUUUACUGCACCUUUGCAAGCUGGGCUCAAUAAAUCGCCCCGAACAGUCAAAGACAUUGUCAUAAAUAUUCUCUGUUCCACACUUGAGGCAGCAAAACUUGAAUCUUUCACAGUCCCUAUAUUUCUCCUCAUCAGUGAGCUGAGCUGGGCCACCAACCAAGGCAUCAUUCUCCUCAUCUUUAUGGUAAUGGUGAUGGACUCUGAAUUGGGAGGGAUCCAGUCCUAACCACGUUGCGAUAAGAACAGAAUCAAUUCCCUCUAUAGGUUCACAUAUUCUAGCAACUACUGGAUGUAUUUGCUGUGACAAGUAGUAUUGAGUAUCAAUAGUAAGAUUGUCUUGCUUUUGCAACUGUUCUGGAGCAUAUGCUCGCUGGCUGGCACUGAGAUUUGAUCCAUCCUGACAAAUGAUAUAUGACACUGUAUCUCCUGCCUUCACCUUUCGGCCUCCUUGAGAGUUUAUCCACAUGGCAACAUGCACAUGUGGCAGGCUUUUUUUGUCAGGAUAAUCCUGUGGAUCUUUUGUCAGUGCCUUAUUUAUUUCAAACUGAUUUACUGGGAUCUGGCCAUUGAUCACAUUUUCUCCAAUUUCUAUAAGCCGCCUUUGAAUAUUUUCCACAAUUAUGUCUCGGGGCUGAUCAGAAAGAAUCUGACCAAUUACAUAGUUUCCAGUUUCUUUUGCAAGAUCACACCAGUCUCUUCGGACUAUAUCCAACCCUUUCAGUUCUUGUUUAGUUACAUAUUUCCCAUCUCCUGUUGGUUCCACGGUAAGGGCAGCAUAUUUCUUCUUCUUUAACAGUAGCAAGGACUUGAAGACUCCAUCAAUAUCAAUCUCCAGCAAUUUAUACAACUUGUUCACUUCACUUUUGAUCUUGUUCCCCAGCUUGAAGACUUCAUCCAAAUUGGUGCUGUUAGUGUUUAUCAUAAUGGAAUCUGUG